This 104-nucleotide microRNA precursor is filed under the name Canis lupus familiaris (dog). RNAcentral's name for it is "mir-8834 microRNA precursor family". It matches the Rfam family "mir-8834 microRNA precursor family". The record is from Rfam by way of RNAcentral. Lineage: Eukaryota; Metazoa; Chordata; Mammalia; Carnivora; Canidae. RNAcentral also lists the same sequence under 1 other name.
AGGAGGAACAACCCCAGUGGCAGCUGCAGCUCUGGAGCCCUGAUUCAGCUCCCACAGUAACUCCGGAGCUCUCGGUCUGCAGGGCCUGGAGGCUCCGGGGCGGG